RNAcentral lists this long non-coding RNA (1104 nucleotides) under Homo sapiens (human). Its description in RNAcentral is "testis expressed 41". Lineage: Eukaryota; Metazoa; Chordata; Mammalia; Primates; Hominidae. The record is from RNAcentral.
AUCUUGAAAACGGAAAAUAAAAACAGCAGACCUAUGAAGGUCGAAGGGGAAGAAAAGCUGUAUCGAUUGUUGAGAUCUGGCGACUUGUUUAAAUUUCAUCAGCCUCACUUCUAUGAACUCUCAGAGCUGAUUACCAACUCCUACCACUGUUAACCCUCAUCCAGGAACAAGCUUAUGUCUUUAACAUUCUGAGUGGGCUUCAGCAUCCUUGCAUAUGUUCAAUUCUUAAAAACCUGUUGAAAUAAAAGAUCAGGAGACAUAGGAAGGAUGCCAGAAGAGAGCGUGGCCUCACGUGUACCAGCUCUCUGCUCUCCUUUGCCUUGGGACGUUCCAUCCCUGGAAGUUUCCCUGCCCACAUCUUUGUAGAGAGUCCAUUCUCCAAGCUUCAGUGUGUCAUCUGUGAGGACCGUGACCCACCUGGUACAUCGCCUCAGGGCAUUCAUUUCAGGCUCCUUCUAAAUGGCCAAGGCCAUGAGAGAAGCAGUACCUUAUAAUGGUUCCUUGUUCAAAGCACUCAAUAUUCCUAGGAUGUGGUCUCCCAGCUGACUUCAUAACUGAAUCAUCAGUAAUUAAUUUCAUUGUUCUAUUAGAUGACCUCAACCUCUUGGCCAUUUGCUCUGUGUUUCACACAGGACUUUACUGAAGACUCUAAGGAGGACCUGUAUCUGUUGGGAUCCUCAGGGCAAGCCACAGAAACAAGCUUUGGAUACUAGAAGCAGAAAAUGGAGAUAUUGAAGACUAUUGUGGAGUUUACUGUGAGCCAGAGAACCAGGCUGGGGGGCUGUAUCACUUAGAAUGAGAUCCAAACUCACACCAUAGUUCCAUCCUUGAGGUUGCCAUGUUGCUGCCACCCCUCCUGCCACCCCACCACUGAAGCUUUGGAUGCUGGAUUCUGGGCACAGCAGGGAGAAGUGUUGCUUAUUACCAUUUUAGUAUGUUUUCUUUCAAGACCUUUUCAAAAUAUACAUACGUAUUUUUAUUUCUAUUCAAAAUGGGAUACAUUUUUGAAGGUUAGCAAUAUAUUGUGAACAUUUUCUUUCCAUGCUCAGAAACAUUUUUCUAUAAUGUAAUUUAUAGUGAUAUAAACUAUCUCAUAGACCUACC